CAGGACGAACGCUGGCGGCGUGCUUAACACAUGCAAGUCGAGCGGUAAGGCCUUUCGGGGUACACGAGCGGCGAACGGGUGAGUAACACGUGGGUGAUCUGCCCUGCACUUCGGGAUAAGCCUGGGAAACUGGGUCUAAUACCGGAUAUGACCUCCUAUCGCAUGGUGGGUGGUGGAAAGUAUUUAUCGGUGCAGGAU
This 198-nucleotide ribosomal RNA is filed under the name uncultured soil bacterium. RNAcentral's name for it is "partial 16S ribosomal RNA". It matches the Rfam family "Bacterial small subunit ribosomal RNA", at positions 25 to 226 of the family's 1533-position model. The record is from RNAcentral.